GGUGAACGCUAGCGGUGCGCCUAACACAUGCAAGUCGAACGCGAUUCCCCAUGACCCUUGAAGAGCUUGCUCUGAUUGGUGAUUGGAUUUUGAAUUGAGUGGCGAACGGGUGAGUAACACGUUGGUAUCUGCCCCCAAGUCAGGGAUAGCCAUCCGAAAGGAUGAUUAAUACCGGAUAGUCUCUUCGGAGUAAAGAUUUAUCGCUUGGGGAGGAGCCUGCGUUCUAUCAGCUUGUUGGUAGUGUAAUAGACUACCAAGGCUAUGACGGAUAGCUGGUCUGAGAGGAUGACCAGUCACAAUGGAACUGAGACACGGUCCAUACUCCUACGGGAGGCAGCAGUGAGGAAUCUUCCACAAUGGACGAAAGUCUGAUGGAGCGACACCGCGUGAAGGAUGAAGGUCUAACGAUUGUAAACUUCUUUUCUGAGGGAGCAUAAUGAGAGUACCUCAGGAAUAAGGGACGGCUAAUUACG
Molecule: ribosomal RNA, 473 nt
Filed under: uncultured bacterium
Lineage: Bacteria
Description: bacterial SSU rRNA
Rfam family: Bacterial small subunit ribosomal RNA
Source: RNAcentral